RNAcentral lists this ribosomal RNA (500 nucleotides) under Magelona alleni. RNAcentral's name for it is "partial 16S ribosomal RNA". It matches the Rfam family "Bacterial large subunit ribosomal RNA", at positions 1831 to 2594 of the family's 2925-position model. Lineage: Eukaryota; Metazoa; Annelida; Polychaeta; Spionida; Magelonidae. The record is from RNAcentral.
CGUUUCUUGGAACAAUAAGAAAUCCUGCCUGCCCAGUGACUUUUUGUUCAACGGCCGCGGUACCCUGACCGUGCAAAGGUAGCAUAAUCAUUUGCCCUAUAAUUGAGGGCUAGUAUGAAAGGCAAGACGAGGGCCCAACUGUCUCCAGAAUGACUAAAAAAUUAUGCUUUAAGUGAAGACACUUAAAUAUUUCCACCGGACAAGAAGACCCUAUAGAGCUUUACUAAAAAUUUGAACUCCUUUCGUAUCAUUUACAGGCCUAUUUCAAUUUAAUAGUUUGGUUGGGGCGACCCAGGAAUAAAGCUUCCUUUUCUCAAAAGGCACACAAGCCACCAAUUUGAUCCAAUAAUUUUGAACAACGAAUCAAGCUACCUUAGGGAUAACAGCGUAAUCUUUUCCGAGAGUUCAUAUCUACGAAAAGGGUUGCGACCUCGAUGUUGGACUAGGGCAUCCUGUCGGUGCAGCAGCUGACAAAGGUGGGUCUGUUCGACCUUUAAAGC